Molecule: unclassified non-coding RNA, 246 nt
Filed under: Hevea brasiliensis (rubber tree)
Lineage: Eukaryota; Viridiplantae; Streptophyta; Magnoliopsida; Malpighiales; Euphorbiaceae
Source: RNAcentral
CUCAGAUGUGUUCUCAAAUUUGGAAAAAGCUUUCAACUUCACUACCUUUCUGGCCGAGUCUGCGUUAACAAACUCUUUUGACAAGUCCUCGACUUUAGAGAGCUUCCCUUCAUCCAAUACUUUAAAAAGGGCAAAGCCACCAGCAGGAGUCUCAAACAAAACAAGCAUCUUUAACUCCCAACUCUUCUGCAAUAAUACGCAUGCGAUAGAGGAUGGAGAAGAGAGGGACUCUGUUCUCUGCUGCGC